GCUGGCGGCGUGCUUAACACAUGCAAGUCGAACGAUGAUGCCCAGCUUGCUGGGCGGAUUAGUGGCGAACGGGUGAGUAACACGUGAGUAACCUGCCCUUGACUUCGGGAUAACUCCGGGAAACCGGGGCUAAUACCGGAUAUGAGCCGUCCUCGCAUGGGGGUGGUUGGAAAGUUUUUCGGUCAGGGAUGGGCUCGCGGCCUAUCAGCUUGUUGGUGGGGUGAUGGCCUACCAAGGCGACGACGGGUAGCCGGCCUGAGAGGGCGACCGGCCACACUGGGACUGAGACACGGCCCAGACUCCUACGGGAGGCAGCAGUGGGGAAUAUUGCACAAUGGGCGAAAGCCUGAUGCAGCGACGCCGCGUGAGGGAUGAAGGCCUUCGGGUUGUAAACCUCUUUCAGCAGGGAAGAAGCGCAAGUGACGGUACCUGCAGAAGAAGCGCCGGC
This 448-nucleotide ribosomal RNA is filed under the name actinobacterium AyD-007. RNAcentral describes it as "bacterial SSU rRNA". It matches the Rfam family "Bacterial small subunit ribosomal RNA", at positions 35 to 497 of the family's 1533-position model. Lineage: Bacteria; Bacillati; Actinomycetota; Actinomycetes. The record is from RNAcentral.